GAUGAACGCUGGCGGCGUGCCUAAUACAUGCAAGUCGAGCGAACAGACGAGGAGCUUGCUCCUCUGACGUUAGCGGCGGACGGGUGAGUAACACGUGGAUAACCUACCUAUAAGACUGGGAUAACUUCGGGAAACCGGAGCUAAUACCGGAUAAUAUAUUGAACCGCAUGGUUCAAUAGUGAAAGACGGUUUUGCUUUCACUUAUAGAUGGAUCCCCGCCGCAUUAGCUAGUUGGUAAGGUAACGGCUUACCAAGGCAACGAUCCGUAGCGGCCCUGAGAGGGUGACCGGCCACAUUGGAACUGAGAAAGGGUCAAGACUCCUAGGGGAGGAAGCAGUAGGGAAUCUUCGGCAAUGGGCGAAGGCCUGACGGAGCACCGCGGCGUGAGGGAUGAAGGUCUUCGGAUCGAAAACCUCUGUUAUAAGGGAGGAACAAAUGUGUAAGUAACUAUGCACGUAUUGACGGUAACUAAUCAGAAAGCCACGGCUAACUACGUG
Molecule: ribosomal RNA, 497 nt
Filed under: uncultured bacterium
Lineage: Bacteria
Description: partial 16S ribosomal RNA
Rfam family: Bacterial small subunit ribosomal RNA
Source: RNAcentral